Coregonus clupeaformis (lake whitefish) is the source of this 261-nucleotide long non-coding RNA. RefSeq lists it as uncharacterized. NCBI's taxonomy places the organism in Eukaryota, Metazoa, Chordata, Actinopteri, Salmoniformes, Salmonidae. The record is from RefSeq and is a predicted model, not a curated record. The transcript has 3 exons.
GUGAGACAGAGAUCCACUUCAUCCUUCCAACAGGCAAGCAAGUCCAGUGGAAUUGUACCCUUCCAGUGUCCUACUGCAAAGCAGACCUCUACUGACCUACUUGAUGAAUCUUCGGAUGUUACGGACUAUGACGAUGCAGACUAUGUUCCAGACUCAUGUGGCAAUUCCUCGGAUGCUUCUAUUAUAAGUACUAUAAGUUUUUGUAGUAAGGAAUAUAAAACCACAGAAAAGAAUCUCCACCACAAACUGUCAAAGAACACA